RNAcentral lists this long non-coding RNA (601 nucleotides) under Setaria viridis. RNAcentral describes it as "long non-coding RNA (SVIR_LNC008893)". The record is from RNAcentral. Lineage: Eukaryota; Viridiplantae; Streptophyta; Magnoliopsida; Poales; Poaceae.
UUGGCGCUUCAAUGUUUUGGCGGACGGAGUUGGUGGAGAUCAACUGAUUAGAAGGCUGGAGCAAUUGGGCCAAUAUGGGCUUAAAGUGGGUCAGAGGAAGAAGAUAAAGAAGGAUUGGCCCGUGGGAGUACAAUAACCAACUCUGAUACGAGUUGUGUUUGUAAAUAUUCAUUUUCGUUUAAAAUUAGAGAUAGAUCCUAGUCGGUUAGGAAAUUGGUCGUAAUAGGCUAUAAAUAGCCAUAUUUGGAGAUUUGUAAAAGAACACAUCAAUCAAUACAAACAAAUCUAUUUUUUUCAUCGCACUUUACUUUCAAGUCGGUGGCUUCGCCAAUACUUUUCUUCUUUCACGAGUUCGUACAGGUUGGCAAGGCUGAUCGACAUGAUCUUCGACCGAUUCUGUAAGUUAUGUUUAUCGAGUAAUAUCUAAGCUUUAACUUCGGGCGCAUCGCUGUUGUUUCAUUUAGAUUUAUUCACAAGUUAUCGAUAUUUACUAGAAUUACAGGUUCUAUCUGUUGUUCUAGUUUUAUCACAAGUUAUCGAGCUUGGGAUUUGAACUGUCGGCUUUGUUAUUGUUAUUUUCAUUCAUCGUUAUCAUAUAGCC